GAUGAAGAACGCAGCGAAAUGCGAUAAGUAAUGUGAAUUGCAGAAUUCAGUGAAUCAUCGAAUCUUUGAACGCACAUUGCGCCCGCCGGUAUUCUGGCGGGCAUGCCUGUUCGAGCGUCAUUUCAACCAUCAAGCCCCCGGCUUGUGUUGGGGACCUGCGGCUGCCGCAGGCCCUGAAAACCAGUGGCGGGCUCGCUAGUCACUCCGAGCGUAGUAAUACAUCUCGCUCAGGGCGUGCUGCGGGUUCCGGCCGUUAAAAAGCCUUAUUUACCCAAGGUUGACCUCGGAUCAGGUAGGAAGACCCGCUGAACUUAAGCAUAUCAAUAAGCGGAGGA
This 335-nucleotide unclassified non-coding RNA is filed under the name soil metagenome. RNAcentral describes it as "partial contains 5.8S ribosomal RNA, internal transcribed spacer 2, and large subunit ribosomal RNA". The stretch from base 1 to 120 matches the Rfam family "5.8S ribosomal RNA", at positions 35 to 154 of the family's 154-position model. The record is from RNAcentral.